RNAcentral lists this transfer RNA (88 nucleotides) under Chloroflexota bacterium. RNAcentral's name for it is "tRNA-OTHER". The record is from RNAcentral. Lineage: Bacteria; Bacillati; Chloroflexota.
AGCGCGAAUGAGGGGCGGUCUUCAAAACCAGUACGCCGUCGUAGCCCGACGGUAGGCAGGUUCGACUCCUGUGCCGCUCCGUAAGCCA